AUAUACAGCCAUACCACCCUGAUCUUGGAAGCUAUGGAGGGUCUUCUCUGGCCUGUAAUUGGAUGGGAGACUGCCUGGUAAUACCCGGUGCUGUAGGCA
Cercocebus atys (sooty mangabey) is the source of this 99-nucleotide ribosomal RNA. The record is from Ensembl. NCBI's taxonomy places the organism in Eukaryota, Metazoa, Chordata, Mammalia, Primates, Cercopithecidae.